RNAcentral lists this ribosomal RNA (938 nucleotides) under uncultured Acidobacteriaceae bacterium. Its description in RNAcentral is "bacterial SSU rRNA". It matches the Rfam family "Bacterial small subunit ribosomal RNA", at positions 56 to 1005 of the family's 1533-position model. Lineage: Bacteria; Pseudomonadati; Acidobacteriota; Terriglobia; Terriglobales; Acidobacteriaceae. The record is from RNAcentral.
UGCAAGUCGAACGAUUAAACUUUCCUUCGGGAAAGAUAUAAAGUGGCGCACGGGUGAGAAACACGUAAGUAAUCUACCUUUGGAUGGGGAAUAACAGUCGGAAACGACUGCUAAUACCGCAUAAUGCAGCGGCACCUAAUGGUGACAGUUGUUAAAGUAUUUAUACGUCUGAAGAGGAGCUUGCGGCAGAUUAGCUAGUUGGUAAGGUAACGGCUUACCAAGGCUACGAUCUGUAUCCGACCUGAGAGGGUGGUCGGACACACUGACACUGAAUAACGGGUCAGACUCCUACGGGAGGCAGCAGUCGGGAAUUUUGGGCAAUGGGCGAAAGCCUGACCCAGCAACGCCGCGUGAAGGAUGAAGUCUUUCGGGAUGUAAACUUCGUAAGAAUAGGAAGAAUAAAUGACGGUACUAUUUGUAAGGUCCGGCUAACUACGUGCCAGCAGCCGCGGUAAUACGUAGGGACCAAGCGUUGUUCGGAUUUACUGGGCGUAAAGGGCGCGUAGGCGGCGUGACAAGUCACUUGUGAAAUCUCCGGGCUUAACUCGGAACGGUCAAGUGAUACUGUUGUGCUAGAGUGCAGAAGGGGCAAUCGGAAUUCUUGGUGUAGCGGUGAAAUGCGUAGAUAUCAAGAGGAACACCUGAGGUGAAGACGGGUUGCUGGGCUGACACUGACGCUGAGGCGCGAAAGCUAGGGUAGCAAACGGGAUUAGAUACCCCGGUAGUCCUAGCCCUAAACGAUGAAUACUUGGUGUCUGGAGUUUUAAUUCUCCGGGUGCCGUCGCUAACGUUUUUAGUAUUCCGCCUGGGGAGUACGCACGCAAGUGUGAAACUCAAAGGAAUUGACGGGGACCCGCACAAGCGGUGGAGCAUGUGGUUUAAUUCGACGCAACGCGAAGAACCUUACCUGGACUAGAAUGCGAGGGAAGAUUGGGUAA